UACGUAGGGUGCAAGCGUUGUCCGGAAUUAUUGGGCGUAAAGAGCUCGUAGGCGGCUUGUCGCGUCGGCUGUGAAAACCUGGGGCUCAACCCCGGGCCUGCAGCCGAUACGGGCAAGCUAGAAUUCGGUAGGGGAGACUGGAAUUCCUGGUGUAGCGGUGAAAUGCGCAGAUAUCAGGAAGAACACCCGUGGCUAAGGCGGCUCUCUAGUACGGUACUGACGCUGAGACGCGAAAGCGUGGGGAGCGAACAGG
This 253-nucleotide ribosomal RNA is filed under the name uncultured bacterium. RNAcentral's name for it is "partial 16S ribosomal RNA". It matches the Rfam family "Bacterial small subunit ribosomal RNA", at positions 524 to 776 of the family's 1533-position model. The record is from RNAcentral.